AUGACACCCGGUUGCCAAGCCCUCCCUCCACGCGCGCUCGCUCGGUGGAGACGACAGCGAGGGAAAAUCGCGGUGUGGUGGCUGAACCGAGCGUGGGAGACGGGUGUCUUUCAGGGCAUCUUUGAGGAACAGCGCCUUCCUCCCGAGGGGCUUUUAACUGUCAUCUUGCUGCAUGACCUCAGUAGCAGAAACCUGCAGAUACUGACAUUACAAUAAAGAGACAACGGUCAUGAAGCUUCACAUGAAACAUG
Molecule: long non-coding RNA, 251 nt
Organism: Cyprinus carpio (common carp)
Lineage: Eukaryota; Metazoa; Chordata; Actinopteri; Cypriniformes; Cyprinidae
Source: Ensembl